Molecule: ribosomal RNA, 229 nt
Filed under: uncultured bacterium
Lineage: Bacteria
Description: partial 16S ribosomal RNA
Rfam family: Bacterial small subunit ribosomal RNA
Source: RNAcentral
UCCGUAGGCGGAUUGAUAAGUCAGAGGUGAAAUCCCACAGCUUAACUGUGGAACUGCCUUUGAAACUGUUAGUCUUGAGUUAUAUGGAAGUAGAUAGAAUGUGUAGUGUAGCGGUGAAAUGCAUAGAGAUUACACAGAAUACCGACUGCGAAGGCAGUCUACUACGUAUAUACUGACGCUAAUGGACGAAAGCGUGGGGAGCGAACAGGAUUAGAUACCCUGGUAGUCC